CCCUUAGAUGUUCUGGGCCGCACACGCGCUACACUGAAGGAGGCAGCGUGUACUCCUGGAUCGAAAGAUUUGGGUAACCCGCGAAUCUCCUUCGUGCUAGGGAUUGAGGUUUGCAAUUAUCCUUCAUGAACGAGGAAUUCCCAGUAAGUGCAAGUCAUAAGCUUGCGCUGACUACGUCCCUGCCCUUUUUACACACCGCCCGUCGCUACUACCGAUUGAAUGAUUUAGUGAGGACUUCGGACUGGGACCGAUGCGGCUUUCGGGCUGCGUCGGUAUUCUGGAAAGAUGUCCAAACUGUAUCAUUUAGAGGAAGUAAAAGUCGUAACA
RNAcentral lists this ribosomal RNA (327 nucleotides) under uncultured eukaryote. RNAcentral describes it as "partial 18S ribosomal RNA". It matches the Rfam family "Eukaryotic small subunit ribosomal RNA", at positions 1470 to 1796 of the family's 1831-position model. The record is from RNAcentral.